UGGGGAAUAUUGCACAAUGGGCGAAAGCCUGAUGCAGCAACGCCGCGUGCGGGAUGACGGCCUUCGGGUUGUAAACCGCUUUCAGCAGGGACUAAGGUUUUCUGACGGUACCUGCAGAAGAAGCACCGGCUAACUACGUGCCAGCAGCCGCGGUGAUACGUAGGGUGCGAGCGUUGUCCGGAAUUAUUGGGCGUAAAGAGCUUGUAGGCGGUCCGUUGCGUCGGAAGUGAAAACUCAGGGCUUAACCCUGAGCCUGCUUUCGAUACGGGCGGACUUGAGGGAUGUAGGGGAGAACGGAAUUCCUGGUGGAGCGGUGGAAUGCGCAGAUAUCAGGAGGAACACCAGUGGCGAAGGCGGUUCUCUGGACAUUUCCUGACGCUGAGAAGCGAAAGCGUCGGGGAGCAAAACAGGCUUAGAUACCCUGGUAGUCCACGCCGUAAACGGUGGGCACUAGGUGUGGGACCCAUUCCACGGGUUCCGUGCCGUAGCUAACGCAUUAAGUGCCCCGCCUGGGGAGUACGGCCGCAAGGCU
This 532-nucleotide ribosomal RNA is filed under the name uncultured bacterium. RNAcentral's name for it is "partial 16S ribosomal RNA". It matches the Rfam family "Bacterial small subunit ribosomal RNA", at positions 355 to 895 of the family's 1533-position model. The record is from RNAcentral.